UAAAAGCUUCAUGACUUUAAUUAGUAACAUGCAACUCUUUUCCAGGAGCAGGGCGGUUGUAAAGUGGAAGUGACCGCGUUGAGAGUCACACACGGUCACGUCAGAAACCUUUGUUUCUAGAACCAACCAGAGCAGAGGAUGUGCAGCUGUAGUGUACUGUGCUGGCCCGUGGUGGGGGAGGUGCCGUGGAGUAUGUCAGCCGUGUUUGCUUUGUAGUCCUCAUUUCCAGUUGGACAGGGUGAGAGGAUGAGAAUAUUUUGGCUCAGUCAUUUCCUGUUUGAGGACAUGAACAGUUUCACUCUCUGAAACAGGGUGUAUACAGUUUCACUCAUGUGGAGAUUAUUUUCCACUCUGAGAACACAAGCGUGUGUUCUAUAGUGAGAAUCCCUUCCUUUUCCUUCUGCCUGGGUAGGACCCUGCUUGAGUCUUCAGUGACCGAGAGUACCUUGAGGAUGCACAAUGGCGCACCCCACACACCCGUGCCUCCACACUGCUGGCUACAUAGAAGGUGUUGGACCUAGAAAAUCCAUGGUGAGCCGAGUACAUGGUUUCCUAGAAUCAGGAGCGACACAAAUGUCUGACAAAAAGAAACCCUGCAGUGUUUAGUUGUAACGCUUCUGGAGCUGCAGCCACCUUCUGCUUUCUCUGAGAGCCUUUAGUUCUGUGACCUGUCUGCUUGGGACUCAUACCACUAAGAGAAGUUACUUGGGCCUGUUUCUGCAGUGUAGGAAAUCUGGGGGACAUAGUGAAAAUGUAUACCUAUAGCCUUUCCACAUAUACAGAAUUGACUUUUUAUCUAUUGGAAAGUCUGCAGCUUAGCUGUUGCCUUUGCCAUGGUGAUGUUUAAGACCAGUCACCAAAGACUUGAGUUGUUAACUCAUUUGGAAGAUGUUUUCUUUGGCAUGUGCAGGGGCCCUGGGUUCAGUCCUCCGGGGGAACAAUUAAGUCAUGAAAAGCUAAGUUUUGUAGUGAGCAGUGUUGUAAAGCCACGUGCAGGGACCGUGUCACUGAAGCUCUAAAUGAGGAAGCUCGUGCUGUCUCCUGAGCUCUGCCUCUGUGUUCUCAGUGCUCAGACUUUAGAGAGCAGUCUAAGCUUCUCAAACACAGUGAGAUGAUCUGAGUUGUAAGCACUAACUCAGAGCUUUUCUAGCACCACUUCUGUUAUCAAAGAUGGGGUCUGCUCUAGAGUCAGUGCUUCUGUUAACCAGCUUCCUUUACAGUUGGAGUUGGUGAGGACAGGGUAGUCACGGUGCUUCAUUGUGUAGCACGGUGUAGCGGCAGGAGUGUGGACUCUAGCUGGGUUCCACCCUGUAGAGCAGGGCUGCUGUCCCAAACCUGGGCUUGCUGCCAAGCUGCGGUGAAAUGCCCACACGGCAUUUAGCACAGAGUAAUUUAUGAACUGCAACUUAUCAGUUUAGUUACUAAUAAUGACAGUAAUUUAUGGCCACAGACAUGGACUUGACUUUUUUUUUUACAACUCCAAUUUCUAAAGCAAAAUAUUUCUCUACCAUUUGACAUGUUAGUAGUCCCCGUAGUAGCUCAAGAAGAAAAAGAACACUUUAUGGUAGAAUGUGUUAACCAUUUCAUAAACAGUAUUGUUUAUAAAGAGGUACCUCUCUACUGUGUUGAAGUAUUUAAAAAGACCUUCUGGAACUUCAGUGAAUAAGCUUUUUCAUAGAGGAUCCAGACAGCUGUGACACACCACACUCUUAACAACUGAUACAAGAAUCUUCAAAUUACAACCUGUGUAUCCGGGAUGGUUCCCCUACCCUGGGGCGGUGCUCUCUGCAGUCUUCAAAGUACUUGAGAAAAGUAUUACAGACUAGGUAGGAGUGUAUGUUCCAGAAGAAGAAGCUGCUUUGGCAUGUUGGUAGCCUGUCUGGAGGUCAGGAAGCCCUGGGAUAGUGUCCAGUACCUAGAACAGGACCUGGUACGCAGGGUUGCUGGUUGUCCUCGCUGACUAAAGUGCGACUAGUGAGCCACAGAGCUUGACCGAGGCUCUCCUACAAAAAAGUGGGAACCUACCCCAGGGCUUCAAGACAAGAGCAGGAUACUUACAUUUAUCGAGUCACCUGCCGGUGCUUUCCCAAGUACUUUGUGUGCUGACCACAUGCAGUCCUCACAGCAGCCUUAGGAUGGGGGAUGGUCCUUCUCCUGGAAGCCAGGCUUGAGCAGUUACCUCAGCAAUCAAAAGCGUGCCCUGAGGAGGUGACAGAGCCUAGACAGCCCAGGCAGUGCCCCACUGCCUGCUCUGUUGUCUCUCAGACAUUCUAGCUCACAUAGUUCAGACGUUUAUGCAGUGACUUAUCAGUCCAGAGGAUUCCAGGAACCCUGAGAAUGAUUGUGAAAUUCAUCUCAACUCAUUACAGCCAUUUGACUUACAUGACUUCUCCUAGAUGCUUAUCAUCUGGGCCUCGGAAUGGCAUAUAUAAUCAUUGGUUCCCAGAGGAUUGUCUGUGCCCUUAAUUUCAGGGACUGUCCAGUUUUUUCUUGGCAGGAAUAUGUGUAAACACCCCAGUCAGCUCAACGGGACUGUCCUGAAGAACAUGUUAUAAAGAGCACGGCUGGUGCAGGCCCCGAGGAGGCUGCCCAUACCUGACACAGUGCUUCGUGAGCCAGUGCCGAGUGGCAGAGCACAGUCUUCUGCCUUCCUUCGUCCCCAGUGGCUGUGUGCAGGCAUCCUAGUGACUCAGGUGUUGUUCCUGAAGUCAGUGUGGCAGUGUGAGACAAAAUGCUGUACCUAGGCCGUGGUGGUUUUUAGAAGCAUCCCAGUGCAGUGUCCAUCUGUUGUGAAGGAGUGUGGUCGUGAAGCAGCACUGCGGUCCACUGAGGAGCACAAAAGCCUGGGUCAGAAAUGCCAUCUGAACCUGACAGCAUGACAGCAUCACAUACUUAAUGUGGACCUCAGUGCUAAUCACCAAGAUUGCUUUUCCACCUGUGAAGAAUUAGCACUCACCCGAGUCACUCUUCCACCCUGGCUUAAUUCAGUUUGCUUUUCUCCAGUUUGUUUGCAAUAGGGUAACAGACAGAGUGAUCGUAAACGUUAGAGGCUUGGUAAUCAAGCCAUGUGGCAUUCUGUGGCUAAUCAACCUUGUCACCUGCUUGUGCUGACUUGUGUAGACUGGUGCCUCAGGUCUCGGGUGGCUACUGUGAGCACACAGGCUGGGCCGAGUAGGACACAGCCCUGCCUGCCAGCUCUCCUAGGUUAGCUUUUGCCAUAGUGAGGGGCUUGGUUUAAUCAUUGUCAGGGUUAGAGUUGAAAAGCUAAAACCCUGGUUGCUUGUGGAAUGUGCGGCCGGGUGUAGUUACUCAUUGUCUGCUGUGUCCUUUCCUCCCCUUGUGUGUCACUCCUGUGUGUGUGGACACAGCUUUCCGCAGCCUCCUGACCCACAGGAGAGUACUUUCCAAUACACUCCUCCCUGUGCCCAUCUCAGCCUGGGGUUAGAAAUGAACACUGAACCAACAGACUACACUCCUGUGUCUGGCCUGGCUCAGAAGUGGGUGUGACCAAAACGGCUGUUAAGUAUGGUGCUCACAGGUGGCUUCGUCUCAGCUUUCCUCACGAGAUAACAACAGGGAUGUGAAGAUCCACCCUGAGAUAUGGACAUUCUAAGGAGAGGUUUACCUCUCGGUACCUAGUUUCAUGAGAGAAUAUGUUGAGAUAAGUAAGAUAUAACAAUCAAUACAUCACACCAAUGGGGGUGAAAAUGCGUAAGUUCCUAACGUAGCCAUUCAGGUAUCUUCUAUUUUAAAGACUGCUUGUCUCUAUUUUUACUUCCACUAGAAACAUAAGGUAGUCUUGUUUGCGCAGAGUUGGAAUUUACUGUUGGCGCCUGCCUGUGAUGUCAUCAUUGAAAGCUACCUGCAGACAUGAGCCAGAGCCCCGCCCCACUCAGCACCAUGGCAGAAACAGCUGCAGCUCCUGCAGAGCCCUGGCUGAGGAGCUGGGGUCCUCGGGAACUACAGAUGGGGAGCUCGCUGCAGUGGUUGUUUUUCUAAAAUCCCUAGUAAUCUCUCAGUUUUCUAUAGCAAGGAACAGGACCUGUGUGAAGUAAGGCUUCCUCGUUGUAUGCAGGCUGAUAGAGCUCUAGGUCCUCUGUAGGAGACACGGUUACUGUCAUUACUCGUGUCCGUCUGUCUGUCACUCCUUCAGGGUGUGCCCUAUAAAAUCAUGUUAGGGACUCUUCCCAUCUUGUGUGGUAAAUCAUGUAAUUUAAUCUGUGAGUCUAAGGUGAUCCGCCAUGACGACUUUGUGCCUGAACAGUGCCGUGAAAAUCCAGUAUAAGAGUUAGUCCUGAAAGGACUUACUAGCGAUGCAUUCUAGAGUGUUUGUAGAUGGAGUAAUAUAUUUUUAUGCAGUGUAUUUUACACUUAUUUCCAGACCAAACUCUGGAGUGGCUUCUUUUUCAAGUGCAUGACCGGGGGAUAAGACCUGUGGGCUUCGCAUCUCAGGAGGAGUGUGGAGCGGAGGGUCUGGGAAACGCGAGUGUCCACUGUACUUGCAAAUCUAAAGCUCUCCCAAGGCUUUGUACACUCUUUUUCAUGAAAUAGAUUAAAUAUUUUUCUCCAAA
Molecule: long non-coding RNA, 4571 nt
Filed under: Rattus norvegicus (Norway rat)
Lineage: Eukaryota; Metazoa; Chordata; Mammalia; Rodentia; Muridae
Description: long non-coding RNA NONRATT001896
Source: RNAcentral